Molecule: ribosomal RNA, 468 nt
Filed under: uncultured bacterium
Lineage: Bacteria
Description: partial 16S ribosomal RNA
Rfam family: Bacterial small subunit ribosomal RNA
Source: RNAcentral
GACGAACGCUGGCGGCGUGCUUAACACAUGCAAGUCGAACGGAAAGGCCCUGCUUUUGUGGGGUUCUCGUGUGGCGAACGGGUGAGUAACACGUGAGUAACCUGCCCUUGACUUUGGGAUAACUUCAGGAAACUGGGGCUCAUACCGGAUAGGAGCUCCUGCUGCAUGGUGGGGGUUGGAAAGUUUCGGCGGUUGGGGAUGGACUCGCGGCUUAUCAGCUUGUUGGUGGGGUAGUGGCUUACCAAGGCUUUGACGGGUAGCCGGCCUGAGAGGGUGACCGGCCACAUUGGGACUGAGAUACGGCCCAGACGGCUACGGGAGGCAGCAGUGGGGAAUAUUGCACAAUGGGCGGAAGCCUGAGGCAGCAACGCCGCGUGCGGGAUGACGGCCUUCGGGUUGUAAACCGCUUUCGCCUGUAACGAAGCGUGAGUGACGGUAAUGGGUAAAGAAGCACCGGCUAACUACGUG